This 4817-nucleotide long non-coding RNA is filed under the name Zea mays. Its description in RNAcentral is "long non-coding RNA (ZMAY_LNC002105)". Lineage: Eukaryota; Viridiplantae; Streptophyta; Magnoliopsida; Poales; Poaceae. The record is from RNAcentral.
CUCUCUUAUAGCAUUGUAGAAUUUGAGGUAAUUACCUGUUUAACAGACAUAAAGACUAUCAUUCCAUGCAACUAAAAGCAGGCUUAAUAUGUACAAAAAAAAUGUAGGUGAAGUAUUUCCUUUGUCGACUUCCACUGGGAGUUAUGUUCAGUUUAAAGUCUCUUUGCUAGUACAGAGACAUCAAGUACAUAAUUGCCACUGUGCUGAAGACCCCUUUUUUUUUACGAAACUUGUGGAGAAGACAUUUUCAACUUAUUUAAAGGAAGCAAAUACAAAUGUAGUUGAUAAGUUUACCACGGUAGAACUUUUUCCCGCAAUCUUCAUUUCCAAUUGCGACAUGUUUGACCAGGAAAGGUUCAGGGUGCCCCAUUGCAGCCCUAACAGAGCCCCAUGUUGAAUCUGCACUCCCCCUUGCAAAUUCCAGACUGUCCAAUACAUCCUGUAGAAAACAAACAGUUCAAUAAAAUUAAAGGUAGAAGAAUUAUAAGUAUAAGAAUUACCUAAGUCAAUAGGAGAUAAUGGUAUCUUAUUGAGUCUGUUACUAUUCAUAUAAACAGAAUUAAUUAGUUCAUGGACAAUCUUGGUAAAGGUGAGCGUAUAACUCAAGUUAAGCGUCAUCUCGGCAUGUGAACUACCUGAAUGAAAAGUAAAGGGUCACCCACUACUGUUAUAUCUUUUUCAGCAUUCAUGAAGACAACUAAAAGAGAAUAAAACUUCAGCAUUAUUCAAAACUGAUAAUAUGUGUUGCUUUUUUUAUGGGGUGUGGGGUGUCCCCGAGUGUGCAGUGCCUUCUUCAGGACAUCGAGGAGGCAGAUGUGUGGUGUAAGGCAGGUGCUUCAGGCCUGCGUGUCAUCUGGCCUCCUUAGGUUUUUUAGUGUGGUGGUUGUUGAGUUGAGUUCUUCCUAACGAAUGUUUUUCUGUAUCUUCGUUUGUGGCCACUGUGAGGUGGUGCUUCUAUACUGACCUACUUUGGUCCUUAUUUCUUUCUUCUUAAUAUAAAUAUACACAGCUCUUCUGCGUGUUCGAUAAAAAAAUGUGAUGGUUCUCACUGUUAUCUGAGCAAUAAAGUUUUAAUCUUUUUUUUUCUCAGAUACACAGGAUUUGUAUUAACGAAUAAGUUCUAAUCUUGGAUAUGGUUUGUAGCUAAAAAAAAAGACAAAUGAUAUUAUAAUAUCUAAGUAUUUAUUUACAAUGGUAAUUUGCACCCAUGGCUGAGAAAGUACAACACAUUAAAAAAAUGAAGGUCCUUAUAUCAUUAUAUCAAUAAAUUUUCAAGGCUGCUUAGUCUACUCGAGGUAUAACUAGGGAGCUAAAAAGAUACCUUUACAAAAGGGGCAAUAGCUACAGUAUCAACUUCAUCAUUGUGGCUUAUUCCUGAGUUAUAAGAGAGAAAUUCCAUCAGUUUAGAAGCCCCGUGUUGAUAAAAGAUUUAACAAAUCUGAAAACAAUUACCAUUGUUGAAUACCCAUAUUGGGGCAGCACCCAGGUCCUCCGCAAGCUUUGACGUAGAUUUCAAUAUAAUACUUAGGGGGUCAUGAUAGGAAAGAAAAAUAAAUAAAGUGAAGCAGUGUAAACUGGUACCUGAAGGAACUCAUAAUAUCCAAGCCCAUCAUCAGUCCAGUAAUGCCAAACAUCCCCGAAGUGUCCAGGCCUCUCUUCCCAUGGACCAAUUGAUUCUCUCCAUCUGAAUGCAUUUCUUAGCCAGUCACCUUCUACAAAACAACCUCCUACAGUAGUCGCAUGGAAUCUAUCAAAUAUCUGAAACAUCUAUGAACACGUAAUAUAUGUCCAAACAUGAAGAACUUGAUUUUAAAUGUGAAAACACAGUGCAUACCAGGAAACCUCAAGAAUCGUGGUUUCAAAUCCAAAAGCAUGGAUAUAAGUUCUGUGCGGAAACCAUGUCCCUGUGUGUACAGAGAGAACCAGCUAUAAAUAUUCAGGUAAAGUUUUGCACAGUGAGAAUUACCAUACACUAGAAAGAGAUUGUUUUUGUUUCUAGGUCUUUGGCAAGAUAAAUGAAUCUAAUACAUUUGGUACACUAAAUAGAUAGCUAACAUAUAAAUUCAGACACACAGGGUAUCCAUCAGAAACAAUUAAUUGGUGGUUACACUCAUCAAACAAACCAAAGCAGUGAACUGGGUGCCAUACCAUCCUUGUAUUGUGGUUACUGAUCAUCUCAUCCUUAUAAGCUGGCUGCUGGCCACUUAUCACCAGCCACCAUUAACACAAGAUAAUUUUUAAGACGAAGAAACCUCUUAAGCAUCUCUUAAGCAUUACAAUAUGUCAAUAUGUGAUGGAAACAUUGUACCGGCAGCAGCAAGAAACUUGCGGUCAGUAUACUCAUUAAACAUUGACAGCCACAUACCGUGAUUCAUGAUAAAGUUCUUUACCAUGAAGGCAUCCAUCGACAAUUUGUUUAAUCCACAGGAGGCUGUCGUUCUCACCAUCAAUGUACCAUCAUCCCGUACAGUAGAUGGUGAUGAACAUGCAAAGCAAACACGUACAGGAGAAAGGAAACCAACCAACACCAAGCAAAAACCUGAUGUGGUUUUUAUUUCAUGAAGCAACAGUACGUAGUACGUUAUCCUGUAUCGUGGUACACCAGUACAAAGCCUUUUUUAUCGAUCAAGAUCGCUAACAGCACACCACACUCCACACCCUCUGGUUGCUGCCAUCCGCGCGCUGUUUGUGUACUGUAAUGUGCAGCACACACAUCAUAUCUCCGCCACAAGCUUGGGCUCAGCCAGCGCCAGAUCGAAGGCGGUGAAGGAGUGAGGAGCCAGCGUGACCUGCAUCUGCUCCGCGGCGUUGCUCAGCUGGCUUUUCACCGGCGCAACCUGCAAGCAGCAAGCUUUGGGGUUCAGAACAAGCUCCACACGUCGCUCCUUCCAUUCAGAAACCAACAAGCUUAGUGCAUGCAUGGACCAUCGGUACGCAUACCUUGUUCGGGUUACUGAAGGAGUUCUCGUCCAUGACGUUGCCAGACGUGAGGACGGUGGCGGUUGAUCCCAGCGCGUUGACGCUGGCCCCGAGUCCGCUCGUGGAGACCGUGAGGUUAACGGUGUCCGACCCGAAGUUCACGACCUGCACAGCAGAAGCCACUUGAGAACGAAACACCUUUAGCCGCGCAGGCUAGGACGGAUGCGAUGCGACAGACUCUACUACUUGCCUUCACUCUCAGGAAGCUAUUCUCUGCAUCCUGCCACGUGAUCGCAGACGCGGCCAGCGAACUCGAGUACCGGGAACUGAUAUUAACCGGAUGAAUCAUGGCGCCGCUUGACUCGCGGAAAAUCGUCUGCAUCCAGUAGCUAGGAGUUCCAUAGUGUUGCCAGGAGUUGAAGACAAUAGCGUCCGGGUUCCACCUGAUCUCGUUUUGUUCGAAACAAAAUCAUCGCAGCGUUAGAGCAACGGGAAAAGAACAAGUAGAGGGUAAAAAAAACCAAGAAUACUAACGUUUGGUCAUUGUCGUUCACGAAGAGUGGAGCGUAACUUGCCAUCUGAACGAUAUCACUGCAAAAAGGUCAUCUAACUCACAGUAAAGACUAUCCUUGGUAGUAGUAGAACCCCAAGCCCGCCAACGAAAAUAAGGAUCAGAUCAACCAACUUGCAACCAAAAGGAGAGAUCACCUGUUCUUCUCCAGACCAGUGAGGAAAGCAGCUUCAGCCAACGAAGCAAGAAGACUGCCUCUACCCGCGUCACUUCUCCAGACAGCGUACUCGCUCACAAAGGCCUGUGUUCGAAUCAUUUCAGCAACAUUUUUACUGUAUGGACAGGGUACUGGUGAUGUCAUAAAUAAGCAAGAAAAUCACUGGAGUUUCAGGGUCUUCAGAGAAACAUGCAAAUAGAACCACACGUCACAUAAGCUCCUUAUGAGUAUUGCUCAUCGUUAUUCAGAAUCACAACACCUCGGAGAAUUGUACCCUCCAUCUCUUAAGGAUUUUGCAAAGCAUCAAAGGACCCAUUUUUUAUAUACUACCCAAAGAACAUCCCAACUCCCAAGUGAAUGCCAGGAAUCCCUGAUCGAUGUAAAUGACUGGUCGUGAAAGAGGGCAGUCUCAUAAGAGUCCUUGUGAAAAUGAGACUUAGACUUACCUUAGGUCCACUACGUGAUGUUCUGUCAAAUGUGCUCCUCAUGUUAAACAAAGUCUUAGAAUCAGUAUAGACCUAAGAGAAAGAAGCACUGUUUAAAUUUAAGAGAAGGCAAGCUGACCUUGACAUCGAAUAAUUAGACAGAACCACAGAAUCAAGGCAGAGAAAAAAAUGAAACAAACAGACUUGGCAGUAAGGACUUUACAUGGAAAUCAUACAAAUCCGCAGGAUGGUCAAGUGGUCUAGAUGAACCAUCACAGUUUGAAAUCAUCUGAAUGUCUGGAUAGGCCUCUCUUAUAGCAUUGUAGAAUUUGAGGUAAUUACCUGUUUAACAGACAUAAAGACUAUCAUUCCAUGCAACUAAAAACAGGCUUAAUAUGUACAAAAAAAUGUAGGUGAAGUAUUUCCUUUGUCGACUUCCACUGGGAGUUAUGUUCAGUUUAAAGUCUCUUUGCUAGUACAGAGACAUCAAGUACAUAAUUGCCACUGUGCUGAAGACCCUUUUUUUUACGAAACUUGUGGAGAAGACAUUUUCAACUUAUUUAAAGGAAGCAAAUACAAAUGUAGUUGAUAAGUUUACCACGGUAGAACUUUUUCCCGCAAUCUUCAUUUCCAAUUGCGACAUGUUUGACCAGGAAAGGUUCAGGGUGCCCCAUUGCAGCCCUAACAGAGCCCCAUGUUGAAUCUGCACUCCCCCUUGCAAAUUCUAGACUGUCCAAUACAUCCU